This 468-nucleotide ribosomal RNA is filed under the name uncultured bacterium. Its description in RNAcentral is "partial 16S ribosomal RNA". It matches the Rfam family "Bacterial small subunit ribosomal RNA", at positions 28 to 507 of the family's 1533-position model. The record is from RNAcentral.
GACGAACGCUGGCGGCGUGCUUAACACAUGCAAGUCGAACGGAAAGGCCCUGCUUUUGUGGGGUGCUCGAGUGGCGAACGGGUGAGUAACACGUGAGUAACCUGCCCUUGACUUUGGGAUAACUUCAGGAAACUGGGGCUAAUACCGGAUAGGAGCUCCUGCUGCAUGGUGGGGGUUGGAAAGUUUCGGCGGUUGGGGAUGGACUCGCGGCUUAUCAGCUUGUUGGUGGGGUAGUGGCUUACCAAGGCUUUGACGGGUAGCCGGCCUGAGAGGGUGACCGGCGACAUGGGGACUGAGAUACGGCCCAGACGCCUACGGGAGGCAGCAGUGGGGAAUAUUGCACAAUGGGCGGAAGCCUGAGGCAGCAACGCCGCGUGCGGGAUGACGGCCUUCGGGUUGUAAACCGCUUUCGCCUGUGACGAAGCGGGAGUGACGGUAAUGGGUAAAGAAGCACCGGCUAACUACGUG